Molecule: long non-coding RNA, 906 nt
Organism: Oncorhynchus tshawytscha (Chinook salmon)
Lineage: Eukaryota; Metazoa; Chordata; Actinopteri; Salmoniformes; Salmonidae
Exons: 3
Source: RefSeq, a predicted model, not a curated record
CACAGUGGAGUGGUAGUUAAAUCAAGCUACCUGAUUCCCUGGCUUCCGCUAUUGCCCUAACGUUGGAUGAGAGUUUCCCCUAAUUACCGUAAAGGGGACACACGAGUGAUUUGUUCGCUAACCCUAACAAUUUCCUUAACCCUUUUCCUCAGUUUCCUAACCUGCUGCGUAAAUUCGAACCUGAAAGUCACUUCGGUAGCGAAGUGGCGUGAAAAUAGUUUUUCCGUCUGUAAAGGGUGAGACUUGUGGACUCUGUCAUUCAGCGUGGGACGCUAGAGAAUGCUGAUGCACUGGGCACCAGAGCCUGUGCCCUCUGGAACACCACGACCGGACGCCUACCAAGGGUCAGGAGAGGGGGAGGGAUCUCCUGUCUGACCCCCGACGACCACCCUCUCUGCCCAAAUGGUUUAUUCAUAUACCAGGCUACCACUAUGAGAACAGACACAGGGCAGUGUACUAUGCACAGGGCUUAACUCCUAACAUGGCAGCCUGUGAGGUACUGGUACUGUAGCUAUGGUACAUUUACUGCAUAAUACCACGACCUACUGGAGGGUCAGAGCACAGCGGGCAAACUGUUUGAAAUGACAAACUCAAAGACAAAUCCUCACACACAUAGGUAGACCGACAGUACAGCAAAGUAUUUUUCAUAGUGUCGACACAUGCCCUCCAGAAAUCCAAACCCAGGAACAUAUGGCUGCAUCUCAUUCAGCAGACACUGCUCACCUCCAAUCCACCUUAGCACAUUACUUUAGGGGCUAACACAUACACAGACAUGCGCAUACAUAGAAUUGACAUGAACGCGCAUGCACACAAACACACACACACAAUUAAUUAUUGAUUGAUUGAUAAACGGAUAGAUAGAUACCGUUGAAGUCGGAAGUUUACAUACACUUAGGUUGGAGUCAU